GACGAACGCUGGCGGCGCGCUUAACACAUGCAAGUCGAACGGAAAGGCCCUGCUUUUGUGGGGUGCUCGAGUGGCGAACGGGUGAGUAACCCGUGAGUAACCUGCCCUUGACUUUGGGAUAACUUCAGGAAACUGGGGCUAAUACCGGAUAGGAGCUCCUGCUGCAUGGUGGGGGUUGGAAAGUUUCGGCGGUUGGGGAUGGACUCGCGGCUUAUCAGCUUGUUGGUGGGGUAGUGGCUUACCAAGGCUUUGACGGGUAGCCGGCCUGAGAGGGUGACCGGCCACAUUGGGACUGAGAUACGGCCCAGACUCCUGCGGGAGGCAGCAGUGGGGAAUAUUGCACAAUGGGCGGAAGCCUGAUGCAGCAACGCCGCGUGCGGGAUGACGGCCUUCGGGUUGUAAACCGCUUUCGCCUGUGACGAAGCGUGAGUGACGGUAAUGGGUAAAGAAGCACCGGCUAACUACGUG
This 468-nucleotide ribosomal RNA is filed under the name uncultured bacterium. RNAcentral describes it as "partial 16S ribosomal RNA". It matches the Rfam family "Bacterial small subunit ribosomal RNA", at positions 28 to 507 of the family's 1533-position model. The record is from RNAcentral.